UCAGGAUGAACGCUGCGGCUGCCUAAUACAUGCAAGUCGAACGCACAGCGAAAGGUGCUUGCACUUUCAAGUGAGUGGCGAACGGGUGAGUAACACGUGGAUAACUACCUCAAGGUUGGGAUAACAUUUGGAAACAGAUGCUAAUACCGAAUAAAACUUAGUAUCGCAUGAUACCAGGUUAAAGGCGCUACGGCGUCACCUAGAGAUGGAUCCGCGGUGCAUUAGUUAGUUGGUGGGGUAAAGGCUUACCAAGACAAUGAUGCAUAGCCGAGUUGAGAGACUGAUCGGCCACAUUGGGACUGAGACACGGCCCAAACUCCUACGGGAGGCUGCAGUAGCGAAUCUUCCACAAUGGGCGAAAGCCUGAUGGAGCAACGCCGCGUGUGUGAUGAAGGCUUUCGGGUCGUAAAGCACUGUUGUAUGGGAAGAACAGCUAGAGUAGGGAAUGACUUUAGUUUGACGGUACCAUACCAGAAAGGGACGGCUAAAUACGUG
RNAcentral lists this ribosomal RNA (495 nucleotides) under uncultured bacterium. RNAcentral describes it as "bacterial SSU rRNA". It matches the Rfam family "Bacterial small subunit ribosomal RNA", at positions 24 to 507 of the family's 1533-position model. The record is from RNAcentral.